CACGACUUCGCCUGUGGACCAUGGGUUGCUCUACUUCUUCCGGACCUAGAUCUGAUGAUGCUGAGUCACUUCAGUGUAGCAGGAUGCACUUCAGGCUAGUUUCUGAACAAGAGUGCAGAAAUAAAUCUGGAACAAUUACCUCCAUGAACAUAGAAAUCUGAGAAAAACUGCGUUGCCUCCCUUUCGCUGUACAACGCGAUGCGUGGCAACGAAGUGACUCAGCGGCGGUCGACUCAGUCCAUUACCAACUCGACCAGUUAUAAAUGGACUCCACCCCUGCCUUGAGUCGACUUGACCGGAGACGAAAGACGCUAUAGCUUAAUCAGAUCUUUUCAUAAUUUGCAUGCCUCGCUCUAGCAGCGUAAAAGAUGGUCUUGUCAAGCGAAACGAACAGGUCAAGCGCCAUUUUGUCCCACGAUAAUGGCCGCCGCUUGAAAUUUGUAGAGGGCAGACGUUAUCUGAAUGUGACAUGCGAUCAGCCUCACAGAACAAUAAUAAAAUAAAGUCUUAUUAUUUUUGCUGGUUUAUACUUUUCACUCAUUUUAUUUUAGAAGCAUACGCGCUAUGUCACUUGCGUGUGUGUAGAAAACGGAUUUUUCUUAUGGAAGUGGUUGUGGAGAUGAGUGAGCAAACAGGCGCGCACUGAUCUGUGUAUAGUUCGUACAGACCGGUGAACUGUGAGGUCAUCUGUAAAAUUGUGUACAUGGCUUUCGCCCCAUCUUUUGGGAUUUAUUUUUUUCUUACACAGAGAAUAUUCAGGACUAAAGAGAGUAUAUAUAUAUAUGAGUCGAUCUAGUGCUGAGAAUACUGAUCACUGUUUUCUGUAAUUGUUUGGUGAGUAUAGUUCCUGUAGAGAGCAGCGGUGUUGAGAUAACGACAUGGCCAGUCCGCGGGAUUCCCAUGCUAGUCCUCUCUGCUCAUACAUACGUCACCGUUCAGUUUCCUAAAUCGACAUCUUCCUUCCGACAUUACGCACAGCGCAUCCAAGUGGCUUGUAACGGGGCGGUAACGCGAACUGCUCUGGCACGCGAAACUGGAUCCCCAACUAUGUGUACCUACGUCAUAGCUGAGUCAAGGUCCUGACGCGUGACGUCAGAGCACGGUAACGCCUCUUGUGGAAUCUCUUGCCCACCAGCGCCUGCGACGACUGAAAAUAGCUGCUAUUAUCGGCCCAAGUGGGUUACAGUCGAGCCCACAGGCCCGCUCGCUGCCGCUCUACAGCUGUAGUCAGGAAUGUGGUGUAGUCCAUUUUUUUCUGUUGUGACUUCAUCCAUGUCGUUCCUGUGCGGCAUGCUUUGUUCAGCCCCGAGUUUUAUAAUGUCUGACGUGUAAGCUGGACAAAAACGAUACUUUUCAACAUAUGACUAAGGGAGUGGUGCGUGGUUCAUUCAUUCAUCUGUACUUUCAUUCGUCUGUUAUUCGGUCGUCCAUGUGUGUGUGAGAGAGAGAGGGGGGUUUGCACCUAGAAUGUUCUCGUGCCCGCACUCUCAAAUUGAUUAUGGGCGGAAAACUCCGUCAGCACGGAACACGUCAGCGCGCCUGUGACGUUAGUCUUGACCAGCUGUUGCUCGAGGAUGUCCCGGGCGAUGAGGGUUGGUCGGGGGAAAACUGGUCAACAAUCUGUCAUUGAUUUGCAGGUGACUGUGACGUCAGGCCGACGUGGAGCGGGAUGCGCACAGUUGUCCACGUCAGCUACGGCAGCUGGUCGUCGAACACCCACGUACACUUCUAUGGACUCUUGAUGCUCCACUCUUGAUCCUGUAAGUCCAGGACUGGUGCUUGACACGAACCGCGGCAGUUUGUUUGUACUAUGCCUAAUCGAUGGAAUUCCUACUGUGAUAACAUGAUUUAUUUCAAUAAAUUAUAGCCGAAGCUUAAUGUGUGGUUAAAGGCUGACAACAGAGCAUAACGUAUCACAAAAGGUAUUCCGAUAAUGAUUUUUGAUCCCCCACCCAAAAAAAAAGGUUCGAGAAAAUUUAUAUUAAUAGUUUUUGUUCAAAUCACACCUUAAUUUAUCAAAGAGACAAGAAGUGACGUACCUUCACAUUAAUGGUGGCAUCGUCUGCUAGUUUGGGCUUCACAUAAGUAAAAGUUGUGUGCAGUCUCCUAUACAGUGCAGCUACUUAUACAAUGCAGGCAAGUCCUUAGCAAAGAAUUGUAGAUACAGCAGUGAGUACACAUCGCGUGCUCGUUCACCUGGCAUUAUAGCAACUGAGUGUGAGUAAUGUGUGUUGAAAGCAGAUAAAGCUACACGGUAGUAUGUCGAUACAUUUUUGCAAAUAACGAACAGUAAUAAAUGAUAAAUCAAUUUAUAUAAAUUAAUUACUUCUGACUAAUUUAAAUUAUGAAGCAAUGUUAUAUUGCCAGAGCAAACUUAAAAUAAGAUAAAAAGCAUUGUAUGAAAAUCUUUUCAAAACAUCAGAAGCCUUGUAACAUUUGUUUCGUCAGUAAACGAGGGGCUACGUGAACUAGUUGGGUAAGUUCAUGAGUACAAUCUCAGUUCAGCCUCACCCAGCAACUCAUAAAAGUCGAUUAAACCUUAAAGUUCGGCUCUCUUGUGCACUAAGGCUCGUGUUGAAAUGUUUUACACUUUAUUUUUUUACUGUUUUCUACACUCUGUUAACCACUACUCUUUGCCUACAGUCAUGUGCAUGGUGGUUGUGUACCACCAUACAAUAUAUUGUUGCAGGAGAGCUGCCCUGCUUCACGCCGCCAAGUCACAAGUGCAUGUUAAGCACUCGUCAAGUUACAGGUGACUUGUCGGAGCAGAGAAGACACGACACGGGUGCACGUAGGCGUGAACAGUAAACAGAAAAAUGUUUGUAUUGCUUCCCUUGACAGUCAAGCUGUCUGAACAUCAAUGUUUGGCCUGAUGAAAACCCACGCUAGUUGUUACAAGCAAACACUUUAUUUGGGAUGCGCUGUGCUGUAAAUAACAAAGAACACUCCCACCUGUACUUGUUUUUUCCACUCCUCGCCCUUUACUACAUGGCUACAAGAUAAUUAGCUCUGAUUCUGAACCGGCGAGACAUCUCUCAGCCAUUGUUUAGGUUUUAAAAAAACACACCCACAAACUUCCAGUUCUUGUUCACUCGAGCAGCGGGAAACAUGUAAAUGCUUCAGGAGGGGGCGAACCUCCUCUAGCUAAACACACAGGUAUCAGAAUCUAUUGAAUGAGAAAAUAAACUGGUUCGGUAAUGUAUAAUGCCAUUGCGAGGUGAAGACGGACAUUUCAGGUUUAAGCAUUCUUUCUCCAUGUGAUAAGACUGCGCGGGGAUGUGAGAGCGAAAAAAAAAAUCGUGUAAGGUUUGUACCGCACAUACAAUGUUAGCAGCCAGUCUGGUGUGGAGGGUUUUCUAUAGUUACUUGGUGGCUGCUCAUUACAUAUAAAUAAAAUAAUCUUUAAGUCAUUUAUUUUGAAGUUUUAAACAGGCUAACCUGCUUUUUUUUUUUUUUGCAAUGAUUGAAAUACAUAAAAAGUACUCUAAAAUAAAAUUUGUGAUACACAUCAGCUAAUUAGAAUGAAAUUUAUACCGUGAGAGAGUAGUGGGCACAAUAACACAAUAGCAGACGACAAUCAAACUAAAGAAGGGAAACUUUAGAGUCAGUAAUGUACAGAAAAGGAGAACUGGCUCUUUGAUAUUCUUAUUCGUCUCGGUAUUAACUCGUAUCGCUGUAGGAGUUAACAUGUUUGGCUUCAACUUUCUCUUUUUGUUUUUUGUGCAUGGGUAGGAGGCUAUUUUUUCUAUUGUCUGGCUAUUGCCAGAUAAAUAUUUUUUACAACUGAAACUAGACUAAGAAUGGUAGUAUCAUCAUAACAGAAUAAUUGCCAAUCAUGUGUGACGAAGCCUUAGACACAAGUAGUGAUACACAUACAGUGGACAGUCUGAUAUGGAGUACACCGCCACUCAAGAAUCAUACAAAUAAAUCAAAAUUUAAAUCUUAAAUGUAUUUUUUUAUUUCUGUAACUCAGUUAUAGUUGUUUCAUGAGAUACGAAGUUAUUUUUGUAUGUAUUGAGUUGUCUAGUAAGGUUGUGGACGCUGCUGACGAUCGCGGAAUAUUUCCAUACAUGCGAGGGUCACAACUGGCGCCAGGUAUCACACUGCAGCCUCAUCGAUCUUUCCGCUUGCCUGCGCCUACAUGCUGCACAGCACCAGCAGCUCCACGCAGUCCUCCAGCAGCCCAUAUCGCAUGCUGCACAGCACCAGCAGCUCCACGCAGUCCUCCAGCAGCCCAUAUCGCAUGCUGCACAGCACCAGCAGCUCCACGCAGUCCUCCAGCAGCCCAUAUCGCAUGCUGCACAGCACCAGCAGCUCACAGUUCUCCAGCAUCCAGCCCACACAUGCUGUACAGCACCAGCAGCACGCAGUUCUGUAGCAUCCAGCUUAUUUCACAUGCUGCACAGCACCAGCAGCUCCACACAGUUCUCCAGCAUCCAGCCCACACAUGCUGUACAGCACCAGAAAUUAUAUGCUGCUCUCCAUCAUGUAACUGUCUGCACAGCAGUCCGUCCAUAUGCUGCUUCUUGUUGUUCUUUGUGGUAAGAUGAGGUGAAAUAAAAGAAGGAAUCUUAGACACAAUUUUUAUUAACAAAGUGAAGUGGAACCAAAGAUAUUUAAUGUAAGUUCUUUGUUAUGAGUUCCCGGCGAAAUCCCCAUGAUCACGUGGUACUCUGCCUGUGCAAUGCCUUUUUUUUUUAAAAAAAAAAACAUUGGUGGCAAUGGGGUGCUUAAUUAGUGUAGUGAUGAAGUUUUUGCAUUUUAUGUCUGGGUUCGAUGUAGACUACCAGUUGUAUUCACGGAAAGUGUAGACAAUCAUACAUAUGAUUGAUGCAGAGGAAUAGCUGUAAAAGAGUGAUGUGUUUUCUAUAAAGUUGUUAUGUUGGCCAUGGUAGACAAGAACGGUCUCUCUGCAGUGUAAUCUGUUCUAAUCCAUUGACAAACAGCUUAACAGUUUCAAAUUUCUCUACCAGAUACAAGGUCGUCAAGCAGAUACCAGCAUAUUCCUCGGCUGUUCUAUGCUUUAUUAUGUAUUGUUACUCUAAUCACUCAUAUCUCCAUGAUAGUUAUCAAUGAGUUUAUUUCACAGAUGCGCUAACGGUCUUCUCUCUGGUAAAUAUUUGGUUCACACAUAAGUUAUUUCAGAGUUCCUUGUAUCAUAAAAAUAUUUCAGUUCUAUUUUUUUAAUUUCCCUUUUUUUUAUUCUCAUUAAUAGGCAAAGACCUUUUUUGUGUUGUUGUCUUUGAACUCAGGGUUAAAAUUUAAUUUCCCUAAAUGGGAAUUAUGCAAGUUCUCUACAGAAAAAGUCUGCAAAACAGAAUAUUUUUCAGUGAUGUUUUUCACUUCCUCUCUUUUUACAAAGUCACAAAAACAAGCCGGAAAAUAUCUUUAAAAAUAUUUAGAAAUAGUUUAUCAACAUUGGAAACAUGACGUCACCUACACAUCGCAUUUAGCAUCGUUGACGAAAAGAAGAUUUUCCUCGCUGGGCUGAAAGCGUCCCCCCAAAGCCCAUUGCGACUAAAAAAAGGUCGGGAGAGAAGUUUUUAGCAACAGAUUGAACGAAGUGCACCAAGCGCGUAGACGAUAAUAGAAACAUUUCCCCGAGAAUCCAUUAAAUGAUGUUUAAUUUAAGACUCGACUGAAGUACUGUAUCCUCUGCCGGCCAAAAGCUGGGGAUUUAUAAACGUCACACAAAUCUCGUCCGCCCGCACGCGUCACGCCGACGUCACUGCCAGUAUCGAUCGGGGUCAGCGCUUUGUUGGCGUACAGCCGUGACGUCAGCCUGUCGGGUGGUGGCGGACACGGGCGUGAGAUGAGGCUGGCGCAGUUAUCUGCCUACAGGGACGUCAGGCAGUUGAUCGAUCUCAUGAAAUCAAGAGACCAGCGGCCGAUGCCUCCCCAACCCAUGUCCCUCUGCUGUCUUCUCGCACUUCACUCGCUCCUCAGCAACCGUUCUUACAGCUACUUCGCGUGAAAAUAGUUCUUGUGCAUCUCUCAGCUCUGUAACUGCUUGUAUUAAACUGUCGCCAAAUGCAGAUCAAAAUACAAUGAAACAUAAUUAUGAUUACAAUUAACUUUUG
This is an RNA transcript of Pomacea canaliculata, 6080 nucleotides long. It is a transcript of the gene named 2-aminoethanethiol dioxygenase-like, with no coding region annotated. The record is from RefSeq and is a predicted model, not a curated record. The transcript has 3 exons. Lineage: Eukaryota; Metazoa; Mollusca; Gastropoda; Architaenioglossa; Ampullariidae.